CCCUUAGAUGUUCUGGGCCGCACGCGCGCUACACUGACGAAUGCAACGAGCUUAUAACCUUGGCCGAAAGGUCUGGGUAAUCUCCAAAUUUCGUCGUGAUGGGGAUAGAUUAUUGCAAUUAUUAAUCUUCAACGAGGAAUGCCUAGUACGCGCAAGUCAUCAGCUUGCGUUGAUUACGUCCCUGCCCUUUGUACACACCGCCCGUCGCUCCUACCGAUUGAAUGGUCCGGUGAAGCGUUCGGACCGUGGCCUUUGGACGGUUCGCCGUCUGUUGGCUGCGGGAAGUUCGUUAAACCUUAUCAUUUAGAGGAAGGAGAAGUCGUAACA
RNAcentral lists this ribosomal RNA (327 nucleotides) under uncultured eukaryote. RNAcentral's name for it is "partial 18S ribosomal RNA". It matches the Rfam family "Eukaryotic small subunit ribosomal RNA", at positions 1470 to 1796 of the family's 1831-position model. The record is from RNAcentral.